Molecule: long non-coding RNA, 1330 nt
Organism: Sycon ciliatum
Lineage: Eukaryota; Metazoa; Porifera; Calcarea; Leucosolenida; Sycettidae
Exons: 2
Source: RefSeq, a predicted model, not a curated record
CUGCGAGCAAUGUAUCGAGAGAUAAAUCAUUCGUAAGUUGAGCCGCGAUCUCGGCAGUUUCAAAAGCGCGCAGUGCGACUUGAGUAUCGAGAAUUUGAGAUUUUCGUCGCGCUGAUUUCCUCAAAUUUGCAGGGGCUUCACUUGUGAUAUUUUCAAGAGAACACAGCAAAAAAAUCGAAACUCUGCGAUCAAUAAAAACGAAAUCGCUGGAGCAGGACGCGUUUGGGCCUGUUUGGGGCAAUUUUCGCACCGUCGCUGCACUCUGCCGCUAUAGCCUAUACGGCUAUAGGCUAGCGCUGGAUAUGUACGUGUAGAUCUACAUGACUGUACUGUGUCCUGGGUAUCAUGGUCGACCUCAUUCUCUCCCUGGUACCUUUCCACUUCCAAGAAGCCCAAGAUAAUGAAGAUUGAGUGAGUAGAACUGAAGUUAUGAUCCAAACAACAUGAAAAAUGCAUAAUUUUGAAAAUUUCCUAGGGCUCUUUAGAAAGGGUUAAAACUUAAAACUCAUCGUUUGGGAUUCGGUUGGAAACCCCCCUAGAGGUGACCCUGCGUACGCGCCUGACAGCUCCUUGAAAAGAUGGCCUCUCAAGCGCAAUUGAGAAAACACUUGCAUAUCCAUCAAUACUUCGGCCCUGGGUCAUUAUAAGGUUGAUAAGAACCAGAGAGCGAGGUGUAAAAGGAGCACGUGCAUGUUUUGUGUUCUAUCUGUCCAUCAGGUGGCUGGUAUCCUGCACCUACAGUUGAUCUUGCCCUGGAGGAUUAUGGUGAUGACGGCGAAAUCUCAGCAGACAAGGGACCUUGGCUGUUUGACUUGGAUGUUGACCCAUUAGAGAAGAACAAUCUCUACUCAAGUAUGCCAGACCAGGUGAAGGUGAUGGAGGCCCAGCUGGCCGAGUACAUGGAGGGAUACGUCAACGACCUCUAUAGCCAGCACCAGCCAGAUCCCAAAUGCAACCCAGAUCUCUUCAACGGAGCCUGGUCAUCAGGAUGGUGCUGAUUACUAGUGUGAUAGUAUCCAUCAUGUCCUGGUAACAACACAUCGCUUUAUUACGAUUUGGGUCGAUUUUGAUACUAUAAUUAUGUAUAAUCAUUUCCACCUGAGUCACAGAGUACUACGCAUCUGGACUCCAGGUAGUCGUAACAAACAAAUGGCAAACCGAAAACAAUGGGUCUAUGUAAUAUUAUAAUUAAAUAAUUCAGAAUACUUUUGCUUUCUCCCAUGCCGAGCUGCCCAGCAUGCCUGCGUCAUCUCCCAGGACUCUACUUGCUUCUCAGAGUCUGGUAUCGUGAAUUGAUUGAUGGGUGCUGAGCCAAAUUGGCCGUGGUAAA